Molecule: small nucleolar RNA, 121 nt
Organism: Myotis myotis
Lineage: Eukaryota; Metazoa; Chordata; Mammalia; Chiroptera; Vespertilionidae
Product: small nucleolar RNA SNORA28
Exons: 1
Source: RefSeq, a predicted model, not a curated record
AAGCAACACUGUAGCAGAUCGUCAGAACUAUCUGAUGCAAUUUGAGCUCGCUGUAGCAAGAAAGUCCCACCUAUUCUGGUGCUCUCUCCUCUGAGACAAGCCGUUCUAUAGACUUCACAGU